GCAUCGGUGGCUCAGUGGUAGAAUGCUCGCCUGCCACGCGGGCCGGGUUCGAUUCCCGGCCGAUGCA
This 67-nucleotide transfer RNA is filed under the name Cordylochernes scorpioides. RNAcentral describes it as "tRNA-Gly". It matches the Rfam family "tRNA". From Rfam's summary of the family: Transfer RNA (tRNA) molecules are approximately 80 nucleotides in length. The record is from RNAcentral. Lineage: Eukaryota; Metazoa; Arthropoda; Arachnida; Pseudoscorpiones; Chernetidae.